GGCGGUGUUUGGCACCUCGAUGUCGGCUCAUCUCAUCCUGGGGCUGUAGCCGGUCCCAAGGGUAUGGCUGUUCGCCAUUUAAAGAGGUACGUGAGCUGGGUUUAAAACGUCGUGAGACAGUUUGGUCCCUAUCUGCCGUGGGCGUUGGAUAUUUGAAGGGGGCUGCUCCUAGUACGAGAGGACCGGAGUGGACGAACCUCUGGUGUACCGGUUGUCACGCCAGUGGCAUCGCCGGGUAGCUAUGUUCGGAAGAGAUAACCGCUGAAAGCAUCUAAGCGGGAAACUCGCCUUAAGAUGAGAUAUCCCUGGGGACUAGAUCCCCUUGAAGGGUCGUUCGAGACCAGGACGUUGAUAGGUCAGGUGUGUAAGCGCAGUAAUGCGUUCAGCUAACUGAUACUAAUUGCCCGUAAGGCUUGAUCCUAUAACG
Molecule: ribosomal RNA, 427 nt
Filed under: Burkholderia cenocepacia
Lineage: Bacteria; Pseudomonadati; Pseudomonadota; Betaproteobacteria; Burkholderiales; Burkholderiaceae
Description: bacterial LSU rRNA
Rfam family: Bacterial large subunit ribosomal RNA
Source: RNAcentral